This 458-nucleotide ribosomal RNA is filed under the name uncultured bacterium. RNAcentral describes it as "SSU rRNA". It matches the Rfam family "Bacterial small subunit ribosomal RNA", at positions 26 to 518 of the family's 1533-position model. The record is from RNAcentral.
AGAAUCAACGCUGGCGGCGUGCCUAACACAUGCAAGUCGAACGAGAAAGUGGAGCAAUCCAUGAGUAAAGUGGCGACCGGGUGAGUAACACGUGACUAACCUACCUUCGAGUGGGGGAUAACAUCGGGAAACCGAUGCUAAUACCGCAUAACAUCGCAAGAUCAAAGCAGCAAUGCGCUGGAAGAGGGGGUCGCGGCUGAUUAGCUAGUUGGCGGGUAACGCCCACCAAGGCGAAGAUCGGUAGCCGGCCUGAGAGGGCGCACGGCCACACUGGAACUGAAACACGGUCCAGACUCCUACGGGAGGCAGCAGUGGGGAAUUUUGCGCAAUGGGGGAAACCCUGACGCAGCAACGCCGCGUGGAGGAUGAAGCCCCUUGGGGUGUAAACUCCUUUCGACCAAGACGAUAAUGACGGUACUGGUGGAAGAAGCACCGGCUAACUCUGUGCCAGCAGCCGC